RNAcentral lists this ribosomal RNA (254 nucleotides) under uncultured bacterium. RNAcentral's name for it is "partial 16S ribosomal RNA". It matches the Rfam family "Bacterial small subunit ribosomal RNA", at positions 524 to 776 of the family's 1533-position model. The record is from RNAcentral.
UACGUAGGGGGCGAGCGUUGUCCGAAUUUACUGGGCGUAAAGCGCGCGUAGGCGGUCAUUUAAGUUCGGGGUGAAAGGUUCAGCGCUCAACGCGAACAGUGCCUUGAAUACUGGGUGACUUGAGUUCGGGAGAGGGCAGUGGAAUUCCUGGUGUAGCGGUGAAAUGCGUAGAUAUCAGGAGGAACACCGAUGGCGAAGGCAGCUGCCUGGCCUAGAACUGACGCUGAGGUGCGAAAGCGUGGGGAGCGAACAGG